Molecule: ribosomal RNA, 423 nt
Filed under: uncultured Streptococcus sp.
Lineage: Bacteria; Bacillati; Bacillota; Bacilli; Lactobacillales; Streptococcaceae
Description: bacterial SSU rRNA
Rfam family: Bacterial small subunit ribosomal RNA
Source: RNAcentral
CACCGCGAAGAACCUUACCAGGUCUUGACAUCCCGAUGCUAUUCUAGAGAUAGAAAGUUACUUCGGUACAUCGGUGACAGGUGGUGCAUGGUUGUCGUCAGCUCGUGUCGUGAGAUGUUGGGUUAAGUCCCGCAACGAGCGCAACCCCUAUUGUUAGUUGCCAUCAUUCAGUUGGGCACUCUAGCGAGACUGCCGGUAAUAAACCGGAGGAAGGUGGGGAUGACGUCAAAUCAUCAUGCCCCUUAUGACCUGGGCUACACACGUGCUACAAUGGUUGGUACAACGAGUUGCGAGUCGGUGACGGCGAGCUAAUCUCUUAAAGCCAAUCUCAGUUCGGAUUGUAGGCUGCAACUCGCCUACAUGAAGUCGGAAUCGCUAGUAAUCGCGGAUCAGCACGCCGCGGUGAAUACGUUCCCGGGCCUU